RNAcentral lists this long non-coding RNA (582 nucleotides) under Olea europaea subsp. europaea. Lineage: Eukaryota; Viridiplantae; Streptophyta; Magnoliopsida; Lamiales; Oleaceae. The record is from RNAcentral.
CCGCCACACUGCUGCGAAGACGCUCACAAUUGCGUCAAGAGGCCACCACUAAGCGAUGUCACUCUGAGUAGUAGUACCACUGCAAAGACGCUACUACAGCGUGUCACUCUGAAGCAACCAGCCCCGCUACACGAUACCGAGACGUCGAAUUACUAGUGUAGCCACACAAAAGGGCUACAUCGCACGGGGUCACCAGAUUUGUAGUUUGUGGUUGAGUAACAACGAUAGAUCUAAUGGUUGAGCGCCGAUGAUGUCUGUAGUUUGUGGUUUUCGACGAUGAGCGCUGCUGUUAGUCGAGCUGCAAUUUUUCCCAGCGUACUAUUCAGAUAUUAUUGUGCAGGUUGUGUUGGUGCAAAUGGAUAUGUUGUGGAGUUUUUUGGUGUGUGUUUGAAUAGCUAUUGUAAUUUUUGGGGUUGUGCAGGUGGUUUUGGCGAUGAUGGUGGAUUUUGGCACUGGUGAAGUAGUAUGGUGUUAGAUGUGGCGCUACUGGUGCUGGUCGCAAACGGUUGUAGUGCAGGUUGCGUUACUGGCAGUUGCGAUGGCGAUGGAGUCGUGGCCAUGACGAUCGAGUGGGAUGAAGAG